Molecule: unclassified non-coding RNA, 354 nt
Filed under: Hevea brasiliensis (rubber tree)
Lineage: Eukaryota; Viridiplantae; Streptophyta; Magnoliopsida; Malpighiales; Euphorbiaceae
Source: RNAcentral
AGGGAAUUUGCUUUGCAGGAAAGAGACUUGGCAGAGAAAGAGGUGGAAAGGCUUAGGCAGAUAGUGAGACGUCAGCGGAAAGAGUUGAAGGCUAGGAUGUUGGAGGUCUCAAGGGAGGAGGCUGAGCGUAAGCGCAUGCUUGACGAGAGGUCUAACUACAGGCAUAAACAAGUAAUGCUGGAGGCUUAUGAUCAACAGUGUGAAGAAGCUGCAAAAAUAUUUUCCGAGUACCAUAAACGUCUAAGUUAUUAUAUAAACCAAGCAAGGAACGUUAAGCGAUCUAGUGUUGAUUCCUCUGCUGAGGUGGUUACUACUUUUCAGGCAAAUGAGAAAGAUGUUUAUUCGACUUCUAAA